UGCAACCCGACUCCGUGAAGCUGGAUUCGCUGUAAUCGCGCAUCAGCCAUGGCGCGGUGAAUACGUUCCCGGGUCCUUGUACACACCGCCCGUCAAGCCAUGGGAGCCGGGGGUGCUUGAAGUGCGUCGCCGCAAGGCGCGCCCUAGAGCAAAACCGGUGACUGGGGCUAAGUCGUAACAAGGUAGC
This 187-nucleotide ribosomal RNA is filed under the name uncultured bacterium. RNAcentral describes it as "partial 16S ribosomal RNA". It matches the Rfam family "Bacterial small subunit ribosomal RNA", at positions 1306 to 1500 of the family's 1533-position model. The record is from RNAcentral.